Molecule: ribosomal RNA, 1472 nt
Filed under: metagenome
Description: SSU rRNA
Rfam family: Eukaryotic small subunit ribosomal RNA
Source: RNAcentral
UCGAUGGUAGUAUAGAGGACUACCAUGGUGAUAACGGGUAACGGGGAAUUAGGGUCCGAUUCCGGAGAGGGGGCCUGAGAAAUGGCCACCACUUCCAAGGAAGGCAGCAGGCGCGCAAAUUAUCCAAUCCUAAUUCAGGGAGAUAGUGACAAGAAAUACCAAUACAGGACCAAUGGUGCUGUGUUUGGAAUGAGUGUAAUUUAAAAACCUUAUCGAGGAACCAUUGGAGGGCAAGUCUGGUGCCAGCAGCCGCGGUAAUUCCAGCUCCAAUAGUGUAUACUAAAGUUGCUGCAGUUAAAAAGCCCGUAGUUGGAUUUCGGUUAAUAGGAUGAUAGUCUACUUUCUAUAAGUACGCACUGCCAACCUAUUUCCUUCUUUUCGGAUAUACUAUUUUAUAGUGUUCCGAAUCUUUUACUUUGAGAAAAUUAGAGUGUUCAAAGCAGGCGUAAACAAGCCUUUGAAUAUAUUAGCAUGGGAUAAUGAAAUAAGACUUUUUGCCUUAUUCUCGUUGGUUUCUGAGGCUAAAGUAAUGAUUAAUAGGGAUAGUUGGGGUCAUUAGUAUUUAAUUGUCAGAGGUGAAAUUCUAAGAUUUAUUAAAGACUAACUACUGCGAAAGCAUUUGACAAGGAUGUUUUCAUUAAUCAAGAACGAAAGUUGGGGGAUCGAAGAUGAUCAGAUACCGUCGUAGUCUCAACCAUAAACUAUGCCGACCAAGGAUUCGGGGGUGUUAUAUGAAUGACCCUCCGGGCACUUAUAGAGAAAUCAUAAGUAUUUGGGUUCCGGGGGGAGUAUGGUCGCAAGGCUGAAACUUAAAGGAAUUGACGGAAGGGCACCACAAGGAGUGGAACUUGCGGUUUAAUUUGACCCAACACGGGAAAACUUACCAGGUCCAGACACAGUGAGGAUUGACAGAUUGAGAGCUCUUUCUUGAUUUUGUGGGUGGUGGUGCAUGGCCGUUUCUAGUUGGUGGAGUGAUUUGUCUGGUUAAUUCCGUUAACGAACGAGACCUUAACCUAUUAAAUAGUUACACGAACCUGGACUUCGGUCCAAUCGUUCGUGGGUAACUUCUUAGAGGGACUCUUCACGUAAAUAGUGAAUGGAAGUUUGAGGCAAAAACAGGUCUGUGAUGCCCUUAGAUGUUCUGGGCUACACGCGUGUUACACUGACAUAUUCAACAAGCAUUAUUAUUCCUUACCCGAUGGGGUUGGGUAAUCUUUUAAAUGUAUGUCGUGAUGGGGAUAGAGCCUUGUAAUUAUUGCUCUUGGACGAGGAAUUCCUAGUAAGUGCAGGUCAUCAACCUGCGCUGAUUACGUCCCUGCCCUUUGUACACACCGCCCGUCGCUCCUACCGAUGAAUGGUCCGGUGAGGACUCAGGAUGACCUUGGAUUUUGGUUAUAAAAUGCCAUUCCAUUGUUUUGUCAGAAUUUGUUCAAACCUUAUCAUUUAAAGGAAGGAGAAGUCGUAACAAGGUU